GUUAUAUGGUCAAGUGAAGAAGCGCAUACGGUGGAUGCCUUGGCAGUCAGAGGCGAUGAAAGACGUGGUAGCCUGCGAAAAGCUUCGGGGAGUCGGCAAACAGACUUUGAUCCGGAGAUGUCUGAAUGGGGGAACCCAGCCAUCAUAAGAUGGUUAUCUUGUACUGAAUACAUAGGUGCAAGAGGCGAACCAGGGGAACUGAAACAUCUAAGUACCCUGAGGAAAAGAAAUCAACCGAGAUUCCCUUAGUAGUGGCGAGCGAACGGGGACUAGCCCUUAAGUGGCUUUGAGAUUAGCGGAACGCUCUGGAAAGUGCGGCCAUAGUGGGUGAUAGCCCUGUACGCGAAAAUCUCUUAGUCAUGAAAUCGAGUAGGACGGAGCACGAGAAACUUUGUCUGAAUAUGGGGGGACCAUCCUCCAAGGCUAAAUACUACUGACUGACCGAUAGUGAACUAGUACCGUGAGGGAAAGGCGAAAAGAACCCCGGAGAGGGGAGUGAAAUAGAUCCUGAAACCGUAUGCGUACAAGCAGUGGGAGCAGACUUUGUUCUGUGACUGCGUACCUUUUGUAUAAUGGGUCAGCGACUUAUAUUCAGUGGCGAGCUUAACCGAAUAGGGGAGGCGUAGCGAAAGCGAGUCUUAAUAGGGCGUUUAGUCGCUGGGUAUAGACCCGAAACCGGGCGAUCUAUCCAUGGGCAGGUUGAAGGUUAGGUAACACUGACUGGAGGACCGAACCGACUACCGUUGAAAAGUUAGCGGAUGACCUGUGGAUCGGAGUGAAAGGCUAAUCAAGCUCGGAGAUAGCUGGUUCUCCUCGAAAGCUAUUUAGGUAGCGCCUCAUGUAUCACUGUAGGGGGUAGAGCACUGUUUCGGCUAGGGGGUCAUCCCGACUUACCAAACCGAUGCAAACUCCGAAUACCUACAAGUGCCGAGCAUGGGAGACACACGGCGGGUGCUAACGUCCGUCGUGAAAAGGGAAACAACCCAGACCGUCAGCUAAGGUCCCAAAGUUAUGGUUAAGUGGGAAACGAUGUGGGAAGGCUUAGACAGCUAGGAGGUUGGCUUAGAAGCAGCCACCCUUUAAAGAAAGCGUAAUAGCUCACUAGUCGAGUCGGCCUGCGCGGAAGAUGUAACGGGGCUCAAACCAUACACCGAAGCUACGGGUAUCACUUAGGUGAUGCGGUAGAGGAGCGUUCUGUAAGCCUGUGAAGGUGAGUUGAGAAGCUUGCUGGAGGUAUCAGAAGUGCGAAUGCUGACAUGAGUAACGACAAUGGGUGUGAAAAACACCCACGCCGAAAGACCAAGGUUUCCUGCGCAACGUUAAUCGACGCAGGGUUAGUCGGUCCCUAAGGCGAGGCUGAAAAGCGUAGUCGAUGGAAAACAGGUUAAUAUUCCUGUACUUCUGGUUAUUGCGAUGGAGGGACGGAGAAGGCUAGGCCAGCUUGGCGUUGGUUGUCCAAGUUUAAGGUGGUAGGCUGGAAUCUUAGGUAAAUCCGGGAUUCUAAGGCCGAGAGCUGAUGACGAGUUACCCUUUGGGUGACGAAGUGGUUGAUGCCAUGCUUCCAAGAAAAGCUUCUAAGCUUCAGAUAACCAGGAACCGUACCCCAAACCGACACAGGUGGUUGGGUAGAGAAUACCAAGGCGCUUGAGAGAACUCGGGUGAAGGAACUAGGCAAAAUGGCACCGUAACUUCGGGAGAAGGUGCGCCGGUGAGGGUGAAGCACUUGCUGCGUAAGCCCACGCCGGUCGAAGAUACCAGGCCGCUGCGACUGUUUAUUAAAAACACAGCACUCUGCAAACACGAAAGUGGACGUAUAGGGUGUGACGCCUGCCCGGUGCCGGAAGGUUAAUUGAUGGGGUUAGCUAACGCGAAGCUCUUGAUCGAAGCCCCGGUAAACGGCGGCCGUAACUAUAACGGUCCUAAGGUAGCGAAAUUCCUUGUCGGGUAAGUUCCGACCUGCACGAAUGGCGUAACGAUGGCGGCGCUGUCUCCACCCGAGACUCAGUGAAAUUGAAAUCGCUGUGAAGAUGCAGUGUAUCCGCGGCUAGACGGAAAGACCCCGUGAACCUUUACUAUAGCUUUGCACUGGACUUUGAAUUUGCUUGUGUAGGAUAGGUGGGAGGCUUUGAAGCGUGGACGCCAGUUCGCGUGGAGCCAUCCUUGAAAUACCACCCUGGCAACUUUGAGGUUCUAACUCAGGUCCGUUAUCCGGAUCGAGGACAGUGUAUGGUGGGUAGUUUGACUGGGGCGGUCUCCUCCUAAAGAGUAACGGAGGAGUACGAAGGUGCGCUCAGACCGGUCGGAAAUCGGUCGUAGAGUAUAAAGGCAAAAGCGCGCUUGACUGCGAGACAGACACGUCGAGCAGGUACGAAAGUAGGUCUUAGUGAUCCGGUGGUUCUGUAUGGAAGGGCCAUCGCUCAACGGAUAAAAGGUACUCCGGGGAUAACAGGCUGAUACCGCCCAAGAGUUCAUAUCGACGGCGGUGUUUGGCACCUCGAUGUCGGCUCAUCACAUCCUGGGGCUGAAGCCGGUCCCAAGGGUAUGGCUGUUCGCCAUUUAAAGUGGUACGCGAGCUGGGUUUAGAACGUCGUGAGACAGUUCGGUCCCUAUCUGCCGUGGACGUUUGAGAUUUGAGAGGGGCUGCUCCUAGUACGAGAGGACCGGAGUGGACGAACCUCUGGUGUUCCGGUUGUCACGCCAGUGGCAUUGCCGGGUAGCUAUGUUCGGAAAAGAUAACCGCUGAAAGCAUCUAAGCGGGAAACUUGCCUCAAGAUGAGAUCUCACUGGAACCUUGAGUUCCCUGAAGGGCCGUCGAAGACUACGACGUUGAUAGGUUGGGUGUGUAAGCGCUGUGAGGCGUUGAGCUAACCAAUACUAAUUGCCCGUGAGGCUUGACCAUAUAACACCCAAGCAAUU
This 2916-nucleotide ribosomal RNA is filed under the name Pseudomonas putida. Its description in RNAcentral is "bacterial LSU rRNA". It matches the Rfam family "Bacterial large subunit ribosomal RNA". The record is from RNAcentral. Lineage: Bacteria; Pseudomonadati; Pseudomonadota; Gammaproteobacteria; Pseudomonadales; Pseudomonadaceae.